This 472-nucleotide ribosomal RNA is filed under the name uncultured bacterium. Its description in RNAcentral is "bacterial SSU rRNA". It matches the Rfam family "Bacterial small subunit ribosomal RNA", at positions 915 to 1391 of the family's 1533-position model. The record is from RNAcentral.
GGGGGCCCGCAAGCAGCGGAGCAUGUGGUUUAAUUCGAAGCAACGCGAAGAGCCUUACCUAGACUUGACAUCUCCUGCAUUACCCUUAAUCGGGGAAGUUCUUUCGGGAACAGGAAGACAGGUGGUGCAUGGUUGUCGUCAGCUCGUGUCGUGAGAUGUUGGGUUAAGUCCCGCAACGAGCGCAACCCUUAUUGUUAGUUGCUACCAUUUAGUUGAGCACUCUAGCGAGACUGCCCGGGUUAACCGGGAGGAAGGUGGGGAUGACGUCAAAUCAUCAUGCCCCUUAUGUCUAGGGCUACACACGUGCUACAAUGGCAAGUACAAAGAAAAGCAAGACCGCGAGGUGGAGCAAAACUCAAAAACUUGUCUCAGUUCGGAUUGUAGGCUGAAACUCGCCUACAUGAAGCUGGAGUUGCUAGUAAUCGCGAAUCAGCAUGUCGCGGUGAAUACGUUCCCGGGCCUUGUACACACC